UCAGAGAAAGGAAGGCCCAAGAGACUGACCCCCGCAGAACCUUCGAGACUGGGUCGAGCUCGAGGUCUGUUCCUGAAUUCGCCCCCUUCCGCACCACUUUUGAUUAUCCGGGCUUGUUCGCCGAUAAAGGGGUGCGAACGAAGGCUGCCCAGCUGCUUCUAACUAAGCCUGGGGACUGGAUACGCGAAGAGCUCGGCAAAGCUAUAUCUGCUGUAAGUGACUCACAAUCG
Molecule: long non-coding RNA, 230 nt
Filed under: Zostera marina
Lineage: Eukaryota; Viridiplantae; Streptophyta; Magnoliopsida; Alismatales; Zosteraceae
Description: long non-coding RNA (ZMAR_LNC004822)
Source: RNAcentral